AGGCCUGGGUGUGGGCUGGAGCUGAGGACUGAGUCUCACCUGGCUCCUGACUCUGUGCCCAUAG
Molecule: microRNA precursor, 64 nt
Organism: Chlorocebus sabaeus (green monkey)
Lineage: Eukaryota; Metazoa; Chordata; Mammalia; Primates; Cercopithecidae
Source: Ensembl